Molecule: ribosomal RNA, 365 nt
Filed under: uncultured eukaryote
Lineage: Eukaryota
Description: partial 18S ribosomal RNA
Rfam family: Eukaryotic small subunit ribosomal RNA
Source: RNAcentral
CACUAGUGUAUAUUAAAGUUGUUGCAGUUAAAAAGCUCGUAGUUGAACUUCUGUACGGUUCUAGGUGAACUUUGUUUGUCUAGGAUCGUGCAUCCGCUUGUGAUCCAUUCUCAUCCUUUACUGGUUGGUUUGGGGAGCAGGCAUUUUACUUUGAAAAAAUUAGAGUGUUCAAAGCAGGCUAACGCUUGUAUAGAUUAGCAUGGAAUAAUAGAACAGGACUCUUGUUCAUUUUGUUGGUUAUUGGACGAGAGUAAUGAUUAAUAGGGACAGUUGGGGGCAUUUGUAUUUAAUUGUCAGAGGUGAAAUUCUUGGAUUUAUUAAAGACAAACUUAUGCGAAAGCAUUUGCCAAGGAUGUUUUCAUUAA